Molecule: transfer RNA, 70 nt
Filed under: Camelus bactrianus (Bactrian camel)
Lineage: Eukaryota; Metazoa; Chordata; Mammalia; Artiodactyla; Camelidae
Also listed under: 3 other names
Rfam family: tRNA
About the family: Transfer RNA (tRNA) molecules are approximately 80 nucleotides in length. Their secondary structure includes four short double-helical elements and three loops (D, anti-codon, and T loops).
Source: Rfam by way of RNAcentral
GGAGAUAGCUUAGUGGUAGAGUGCCUGCCUAGGAUGCAGAAGGUUCUGGGUUCAAUCCCCAGGACCUCCA